RNAcentral lists this ribosomal RNA (459 nucleotides) under uncultured bacterium. Its description in RNAcentral is "partial 16S ribosomal RNA". It matches the Rfam family "Bacterial small subunit ribosomal RNA", at positions 338 to 794 of the family's 1533-position model. The record is from RNAcentral.
CCUACGGGUGGCAGCAGUGAGGAAUAUUGGUCAAUGGACGAGAGUCUGAACCAGCCAAGUAGCGUGAAGGAUGACUGCUCUAUGGGUUGUAAACUUCUUUUAUAUGGGAAUAAAUUGUUCCAUGUGUGGGAUUUUGUAUGUACCAUAUGAAUAAGGAUCGGGUAACUCCGUGCCAGCAGCCGCGGUAAUACGGAGGCACCGGGCGUUAUCCGGAUUUAUUGGGUUAAAGGGGAGCGUAGGUGGAUUGUUAAGUCAGUUGUGAAAGUUUGAGGCUAAACCGUAAAAUUGCAGUUGAAACAGGCAGUCAUGAGUACAGUAGAGGUGGGCGGAAUUCGGGGUGAGGCGGUGAAAUGCUUAGAUACCACGGAGAAAUCCGAUUGCGAAGGCAGCUCACUGGACUGCAACUGACACUGAGGAUCGAAAGUGUGGGUAUCAAACAGGAUUAGAAACCCGGGUAGU